Molecule: ribosomal RNA, 485 nt
Filed under: uncultured bacterium
Lineage: Bacteria
Description: bacterial SSU rRNA
Rfam family: Bacterial small subunit ribosomal RNA
Source: RNAcentral
AUUGAACGCUGGCGGCAUGCUUUACACAUGCAAGUCGAACGGCAGCGCGGGGGCAACCCUGGCGGCGAGUGGCGAACGGGUGAGUAAUGUAUCGGAACGUAUCCUGUAAUGGGGGAUAACCAGUCGAAAGACUGGGUAAUACCGCAUACGCACGAGAGUGGAAAGUAGGGGAUCGCAAGACCUUACGUUAUAGGAGCGGCCGAUAUCUGAUUAGCUAGUUGGUGGGGUAAAGGCCUACCAAGGCGACGAUCAGUAGCUGGUCUGAGAGGACGACCAGCCACACUGGGACUGAGACACGGCCCAGACUCCUACGGGAGGCAGCAGUGGGGAAUUUUGGACAAUGGGCGAAAGCCUGAUCCAGCCAUGCCGCGUGCAGGAAGAAGGCCUUCGGGUUGUAAACUGCUUUAGUCUAGGAAAAAGGGGUGCGAGGUUAAUACCCUCGUGCUUUGAUGGUACUGGAAGAAUAAGCACCGGCUAACUACGUG